GUGCCAGCCGCCGCGGUAAUACGGAGGGUGCAAGCGUUAAUCGGAAUUACUGGGCGUAAAGCGCGCGUAGGUGGCUUGAUAAGCCGGUUGUGAAAGCCCCGGGCUCAACCUGGGAACGGCAUCCGGAACUGUCAGGCUAGAGUGCAGGAGAGGAAGGUAGAAUUCCCGGUGUAGCGGUGAAAUGCGUAGAGAUCGGGAGGAAUACCAGUGGCGAAGGCGGCCUUCUGGACUGACACUGACACUGAGGUGCGAAAGCGUGGGUAGCAAACAGGAUUAGAUACCCUGGUAGUCCACGCCGUAAACGAUGUCGACCAGCCGUUGGGUGCCUAGAGCACUUUGUGGCGAAGUUAACGCGAUAAGUCGACCGCCUGGGGAGUACGGCCGCAAGGUUAAAACUCAAAUGAAUUGACGGGGGCCCGCACAAGCGGUGGAGCAUGUGGUUUAAUUCGAUGCAACGCGAAGAACCUUACCUACCCUUGACAUCUACAGAAGCCGGAAGAGAUUCUGGUGUGCCUUCGGGAACUGUAAGACAAGUGCUGCAUGGCUGUCGUCAGCUCGUGUUGUGAAAUGUUGGGUUAAGUCCCGUAACGAGCGCAACCCUUGUCCUUAUUUGCCAGCGAGUAAUGUCGGGAACUCUAAGGAGACUGCCGGUGACAAACCGGAGGAAGGUGGGGACGACGUCAAGUCAUCAUGGCCCUUACGGGUAGGGCUACACACGUGCUACAAUGGCCGGUACAAAGGGCUGCGAGCUCGCGAGAGUCAGCGAAUCCCUUAAAGCCGGUCUCAGUCCGGAUCGGAGUCUGCAACUCGACUCCGUGAAGUCGGAAUCGCUAGUAAUCGUGAAUCAGAAUGUCACGGUGAAUACGUUCCCGGGCCUUGCACACACCGCCCGUC
This 894-nucleotide ribosomal RNA is filed under the name uncultured bacterium. RNAcentral describes it as "bacterial SSU rRNA". It matches the Rfam family "Bacterial small subunit ribosomal RNA", at positions 505 to 1398 of the family's 1533-position model. The record is from RNAcentral.